AUCUGCCUAGUAGUGGGGGAUAGCUCGGGGAAACUCGAAUUAAUACCGCAUACGACCUACGGGUGAAAGGGGGCGCAAGCUCUUGCUAUUAGAUGAGCCUAAAUCAGAUUAGCUAGUUGGUGGGGUAAAGGCCCACCAAGGCGACGAUCUGUAACUGGUCUGAGAGGAUGAUCAGUCACACCGGAACUGAGACACGGUCCGGACUCCUACGGGAGGCAGCAGUGGGGAAUAUUGGACAAUGGGGGCAACCCUGAUCCAGCCAUGCCGCGUGUGUGAAGAAGGCCUUUUGGUUGUAAAGCACUUUAAGCAGGGAGGAGAGGCUAAUGGUUAAUACCCAUUAGAUUAGACGUUACCUGCAGAAUAAGCACCGGCUAACUCUGUGCCAGCAGCCGCGGUAAUACAGAGGGUGCGAGCGUUAAUCGGAAUUACUGGGCGUAAAGCGAGUGUAGGUGGCUCAUUAAGUCACAUGUGAAAUCCCCGGGCUUAACCUGGGAACUGCAUGUGAUACUGGUGGUGCUAGAAUAUGUGAGAGGGAAGUAGAAUUCCAGGUGUAGCGGUGAAAUGCGUAGAGAUCUGGAGGAAUACCGAUGGCGAAGGCAGCUUCCUGGCAUAAUAUUGACACUGAGAUUCGAAAGCGUGGGUAGCAAACAGGAUUAGAUACCCUGGUAGUCCACGCCGUAAACGAUGUCUAC
This 692-nucleotide ribosomal RNA is filed under the name Moraxella sp. GA42. Its description in RNAcentral is "bacterial SSU rRNA". It matches the Rfam family "Bacterial small subunit ribosomal RNA", at positions 124 to 816 of the family's 1533-position model. Lineage: Bacteria; Pseudomonadati; Pseudomonadota; Gammaproteobacteria; Moraxellales; Moraxellaceae. The record is from RNAcentral.